CCGAGAAUAGCUCAGCUGGCAGAGCGGGAGACUGUAGUGUUCGUCAAAGUAGUUGGGCUGCGAUUGUCAUCUCUAGGUCCCUGGUUCAAUUCCGGGUUCUCGGA
Martensiomyces pterosporus is the source of this 104-nucleotide non-coding RNA. The record is from the annotation of a GenBank genome assembly. NCBI's taxonomy places the organism in Eukaryota, Fungi, Kickxellomycota, Kickxellomycetes, Kickxellales, Kickxellaceae.